AAUAAACGCUGGCGGCGUGCCUAACACAUGCAAGUCGAGCGAGAAAGCUCCUUCGGGAGUUAGUAAAGCGGCGAACGGGUGAGCAACACGUGAGAAUCUACCCUUUAGUGAAGAAUACCCUCGAGAAAUCGAGGCUAAUACUGCAUACGUCCCCUUCGGGGAGAAAGAUGGCCUCUUUGCUAUCGCUAAAGGAUGAGCUUGCGUACUAUUAGCUAGUUGGCGGGGUAAAGGCCCACCAAGGCCAAUGAUGGUUAACCGGCCUGAGAGGGUGUACGGUCACACCUGGAACUUAGACACGGUCCAGACUCCUACGGGAGGCAGGCAGUGAGGAAUCUUGCGCAAUGGGCAAAGCCUGACGCAGCGACGCCGCGUGGAGGAUGACGGUUUUCGGAUUGUAAACUCCUGUUAAGCGGGAAGAAAGCCUUGUUUCUAAUACAAGCAAGGUAUGACGGUACCGCUAGAGAAAGCACCGGCUAACUUCGUGCCAGCAGCCGCGGUAAAGUGCGCG
Molecule: ribosomal RNA, 508 nt
Filed under: uncultured bacterium
Lineage: Bacteria
Description: bacterial SSU rRNA
Rfam family: Bacterial small subunit ribosomal RNA
Source: RNAcentral